RNAcentral lists this ribosomal RNA (301 nucleotides) under uncultured bacterium. Its description in RNAcentral is "partial 16S ribosomal RNA". It matches the Rfam family "Bacterial small subunit ribosomal RNA", at positions 509 to 807 of the family's 1533-position model. The record is from RNAcentral.
CAGCCGCCGCGGUAAAACGAAGGGUGCAAGCGUUAAUCGGAAUUACUGGGCGUAAAGCGCACGCAGGCGGUUUGUUAAGUCAGAUGUGAAAUCCCCGAGCUUAACUUGGGAACUGCAUUUGAAACUGGCAAGCUAGAGUCUUGUAGAGGGGGGUAGAAUUCCAGGUGUAGCGGUGAAAUGCGUAGAGAUCUGGAGGAAUACCGGUGGCGAAGGCGGCCCCCUGGACAAAGACUGACGCUCAGGUGCGAAAGCGUGGGGAGCAAACAGGAUUAGAUACCCCUGUAGUCCCUGUCUCUUAUAC